GACGAACGCUGGCGGCGUGCCUAAUACAUGCAAGUCGAGCGGACGAAUCGAAAGCUUGCUUUUGAUUCGUUAGCGGCGGACGGGUGAGUAACACGUGGGCAACCCGCUCUGUAGACGGGGAUAACACCGAGAAAUCGGUGCCAAUACCGGAUAACACGAAAUGUCGCAUGACGUUUCGUUGAAAGACGGCGCAAGCUGUCGCUACAGGAUGGGCCCGCGGCGCAUUAGCUAGUUGGUGAGGUAACGGCUCACCAAGGCGACGAUGCGUAGCCGACCUGAGAGGGUGAUCAGCCACACUGGGACUGAGACACGGCCCAGACUCCUACGGGAGGCAGCAGUAGGGAAUCUUCCGCAAUGGACGAAAGUCUGACGGAGCAACGCCGCGUGAGCGAAGAAGGCCUUCGGGUCGUAAAGCUCUGUUGUUAGGGAAGAACAAGUAACGCAGUAACUGGCGUUACCGUGACGGUACCUAACGAGAAAGCCACGGCUAACUACGUG
This 498-nucleotide ribosomal RNA is filed under the name uncultured bacterium. Its description in RNAcentral is "partial 16S ribosomal RNA". It matches the Rfam family "Bacterial small subunit ribosomal RNA", at positions 28 to 507 of the family's 1533-position model. The record is from RNAcentral.